Molecule: transfer RNA, 73 nt
Filed under: Bacteroidales bacterium
Lineage: Bacteria; Pseudomonadati; Bacteroidota; Bacteroidia; Bacteroidales
Description: tRNA-Arg
Rfam family: tRNA
About the family: Transfer RNA (tRNA) molecules are approximately 80 nucleotides in length.
Source: RNAcentral
GGCUUCGUAGUUCAAUGGAUAGAACGUCAGAUUCCGGUUCUGAAGGUUGGGGGUUCGAAUCCCUCCGGAGUCG